RNAcentral lists this ribosomal RNA (644 nucleotides) under Tolypothrix sp. HSN042. RNAcentral's name for it is "bacterial SSU rRNA". It matches the Rfam family "Bacterial small subunit ribosomal RNA", at positions 116 to 792 of the family's 1533-position model. Lineage: Bacteria; Bacillati; Cyanobacteriota; Cyanophyceae; Nostocales; Tolypothrichaceae. The record is from RNAcentral.
CGCGUAGAAUCUGCCUUCAGGUUCGGGACAACCCCUGGAAACGGUGGCUAAUACCGAAUGUGCAGCAAUGUGAAAAAUUUAUUGCCUGAAGAUGAGCUCGCGUCUGAUUAGUUAGUAGGUGUGGUAAGAGCGCACCUAGGCGACGAUCAGUAGCUGGUCUGAGAGGAUGAUCAGCCACACUGGGACUGAGACACGGCCCAGACUCCUACGGGAGGCAGCAGUGGGGAAUUUUCCGCAAUGGGCGAAAGCCUGACGGAGCAAUACCGCGUGAGGGAGGAAGGCUCUUGGGUUGUAAACCUCUUUUCUCAAGGAAGAAAAAAAUGACGGUACUUGAGGAAUAAGCAUCGGCUAACUCCGUGCCAGCAGCCGCGGUAAUACGGAGGAUGCAAGCGUUAUCCGGAAUGAUUGGGCGUAAAGCGUCCGCAGGUGGCUAUGUAAGUCUGCUGUUAAAGAGUCUGGCUCAACCAGAUAAAGGCAGUGGAAACUACAUGGCUAGAGUGCGUUCGGGGCAGAGGGAAUUCCUGGUGUAGCGGUGAAAUGCGUAGAGAUCAGGAAGAACACCGGUGGCGAAAGCGCUCUGCUAGGCCGCAACUGACACUGANGGACGAAAGCUAGGGGAGCGAAAGGGAUUANAUACCCCUGUA